RNAcentral lists this unclassified non-coding RNA (865 nucleotides) under Hevea brasiliensis (rubber tree). Lineage: Eukaryota; Viridiplantae; Streptophyta; Magnoliopsida; Malpighiales; Euphorbiaceae. The record is from RNAcentral.
GGUCCUGGGAAUCUUGCCAGAUUGGAUUAGACCAAUCUAUAGGUUCAUUUUCAAGGGUCGAAAUGGGUCCAAGAGACGUACAAUUCACAUAGGGAAGAGCCAGAGGCUGGUAGCCAUUUAUCUCACAGAGAUGUUCUGCUAGCUGUCUUCUCAGUGGUCCCAUAGUGUCCUUUUCCAAGAUUGAGCCAUCAUAGUUCCUCCAUUCAUACUCAGAGUUGUGGGACCAAAGGAGUCCAUCAGGACUUCUGGAGAAUGACCUAUGCAUGAUAAACAUUGUCCUGAUAGUGGGCUGAGUUCUGAUGGGCCUUUUUUCAAUUCCAUGGACCUCUAUGAGUCGUUUGAGACUGUAUUGCCAUGCAGAGAUGGGCUUGAACCAUUCAAGGAACCUGAACAGUAGGGUUCUGUUUGUAUUGUUGAGAGUAUGUUGAUGUAGUGCUAAGAGGGGAAAUUCUAUACCUGUAGAGUAUAAAGUGACCAUACACCAUAGGAGCCAUAACUCCUCGAGAAUUAGAUCUCUGUCAGAAUGAAUGCUAAAGCAUUUUAAGAAAGGAUUGUCAGGGAUGAAGAGGGGAGUAAUCCCCUUAAAGUAUUUCUAGCACUCAAGUAGUGGAACAAGUGGUCUUUUGCAAACUGAGCUAUCUUUGGGAUGGGCUGGUUAGGAGAACAGCCAGGUGGAAAACUAUCUGGUGUGGGGAUGAGAAAACCAGGAGUAUUUGGAGAGGACGAGGAAGCCAUAAAAAUUAAAGGGAAUGUGAAGUGUGAUUUGAUGAGUUGAAGUUUCCUGGGCCUAGAUAGGAGAUCUGGAAUUAAGUUAUGCCUUCCCUUUAUGUGUUGGACUGUAAAUUUAUACUUGGCGAACCAGUCU